AACAGAGGAGUAAAAAGAAGAAAGGCGAGAAGGGAGGCGGUUUGAAUAAAAAGGAGAAAGCUCGAAAUGAUCUUAGCUCUCGGGGCUGGGUCCACGAUAGCUGCUGUGCAAAAAACGUGUUGAAUUCCAUCGGAUCCGGAGAAAUUAGGAAGGAGGAGGAAAACGGAAAAGGAAGGAAAAAAGAAAAAAAAACGUUCGCGUGUGAUUAUUCUUACGUAUUUUCGAUCGUCCGAUCUGCCCUGAAAAUCGAGCAAGAAGUAACGAGGAGAAAAAAGGUGGAGAGAGGGGAAAAGAAAAUAGAACGGGACGAGCCUUCGAGUCGUCGACGACACCCACAAGAGUAA
Molecule: unclassified non-coding RNA, 344 nt
Filed under: Athalia rosae (coleseed sawfly)
Lineage: Eukaryota; Metazoa; Arthropoda; Insecta; Hymenoptera; Athaliidae
Description: misc RNA ENSAEAG00005013015.1
Source: RNAcentral